This 437-nucleotide ribosomal RNA is filed under the name uncultured bacterium. RNAcentral's name for it is "bacterial SSU rRNA". It matches the Rfam family "Bacterial small subunit ribosomal RNA", at positions 26 to 507 of the family's 1533-position model. The record is from RNAcentral.
CAAGAACGAACGCUGGCGGCAUGCCUAACACAUGCAAGUCGAACGAGACCUUCGGGUCUAGUGGCGCACGGGUGCGUAACGCGUGGGAACCUGCCUUUAGGUUCGGAAUAACUCAGAGAAAUUUGAGCUAAUACCGGAUAAUGUCUUCGGACCAAAGAUUUAUCGCCUUUAGAUGGGCCCGCGUUGGAUUAGCUAGUUGGUGGGGUAAAGGCCUACCAAGGCGACGAUCCAUAGCUGGUCUGAGAGGAUGAUCAGCCACACUGGGACUGAGACACGGCCCAGACUCCUACGGGAGGCAGCAGUGGGGAAUAUUGGACAAUGGGCGAAAGCCUGAUCCAGCAAUGCCGCGUGAGUGAUGAAGGCCUUAGGGUUGUAAAGCUCUUUUACCCGAGAUGAUAAUGACAGUAUCGGGAGAAUAAGCUCCGGCUAACUCCGUG